This 1457-nucleotide long non-coding RNA is filed under the name Sus scrofa (pig). Its description in RNAcentral is "lncRNA (ENSSSCG00005027598.1)". The record is from RNAcentral. Lineage: Eukaryota; Metazoa; Chordata; Mammalia; Artiodactyla; Suidae.
GGAGCUACGGAAAAAAUGAUGUCUAACCUUCUAACCGGUGUGCUGGAAGAUGGCGUGUCUGCCAAUGGUGUGCCCCGGUCUACAGCCCCAGGUGGAACAUCCAACCCAGAGAAGAAGAUGAGCUGUGGGACCCAGUGCCCGAAUCCCCAGAGCCUCAGCUCAGGCCCCCUGACCCAGAAACAGAAUGGCCUCCGGACUACAGAGGCUAAAAGGGACGCUAAGCGGACAUCUGCAAAAGAAGUCACCAUUAAUGUCACAGAAAGCAUCCGACAGGUGGACAGAAAUCAAAGAAUCACAAAGAAAUGCAUCAACUAGGAGAGCUGAGGGCCAGAUGGACUUCUUUGGUGCCCUUCGCAUCCUGGAUCCUAUCGAGGAACUUUGAAGAAGCGGGUGGCCCUUGCUGCAUGGGAACACUGCGGAAUGCCUGUGAGACCCUGUCUUACCCGGCAGCACCGCUGCCUGAGCAUUGGCAGCCUCCUGUUUAUCGUGUAAACAUAUCGGCAGAGCACUCCCAUAGGGUAUUAAACUGCAAAUGUGCGUUCAGUUUGCCUCUUGCGCUCGGACAGUCUGGUCUGAUGGAAACGUGGUGAGCUAAAACCACCUGCUGCCGUAGUGUGUGCUGGGUCGGGCAAGCUUAUUCUUUCUUUCUUUUUAAAAUACCAUCAACACAAAGUGUACUGUGUUCAGUUACAAGUUGGCUUCCACCCAGUUCUAAACCCUCAUGUAUGAGAAAUCAAGAAAACAGGAAAACGUUGUUAUUCUUGUUUCCUUAGCCCAGUCUGAGAUGGAUUCAGGUCCAAUUUUAUACACACUGACCCCACUGACACCCAUGGCGUGUGCUGGGGCCUCUCUGGGAUACAGCCACACCCACGUCUCUCUCCUCCACCUUCACCCUCCUGGCCCAGGCCAGGGUCCAUGUCAGCCUCUGAAUCAUAGCAUCACAGUCACGGGCAAUGCAUCCAACCUCGGACGCCCUUGCGGCUCUGCAGACAUUGUGUUUCUCCAGCUUUCCACUUCCUUUCCUUGUGCUGAGCGUUUUUUCUCUCCAUUCAGGCCAUUUGCAAUUGUUAAUCAAAGACCGGCCACUGCUCACAAGAGGGAGAAAAUCUGAAACGUGUCGGCUUUCUUUUAGCCUCUCCUUGCACACCCAGGACUGUGUCAUUUGGUGUCUGCAAAGGAAUCGAUUUAAGAAGCCGGUACCUGGUGGGUGUGUGUUCACGGGAACAUCAGAUCGCCAUGCAGUGUGUUAAAAAUCAGGCAGCUGAGACGGGAAAAAAUAAGUAAAUAAAUAACCAAUUUUGAUAGGAUUUUCUAGCAUUUCUUUAAACAUGUAAAGGUAGAAGUAUUUUCCUCCAAAGUAAUGUAGCAUGAUUUUUAGAGGACUCUUAACGUGCCUGGGAUUGGGAGAGGGAGGACUAAAGUUGUACCCAAUCAUACUAAUAAACUCCACAUUUAGC